UUACAGGAGCUGAAGUGUCACCCUUGUGACACACAAAGGUCCAAGGAACGAUGUCUUGCUGUCCCACCUUACUGCUGAUUUGUGCUCUGGCAGUGCUGCAGGGCCUUGAUGCACGGGGUGAGCUCUGCCCAGGGCCAGCACCUGGCUGCCUGACAAGAGCUGUGAGCUGUGAUGUUCACAUUGUGCCUUGGCACGUUUCUGAGAGGACAGCAGAGGAGCUCUUCUGUGCUGUCCCUCACCUAAGCUUAGGCCAGGUAAGGAUAAACCCCAUCUCCAUAGAAUCACAGAGUAGUAGAACGGCCUGGGUUGGAAGGGACCUUAAAGACCAUCUUGCUUUAAAUCUGCUGACAAGGGCCGCAACACCUUCCACUAGACCAGGUAGCACAAAGCCCUUCCAACCUGUUCUUGUGUAUUUCCAGGGAUGGGGCAUCCACAGCUUCUCUGGGCAACCUGUUCCAGAGUCUCACCACCCUCACAGUAAAGAAUUUCUUCCUUAUGUUUAACCUAAACCUUCUCUCCAUCUUAAAGCCAUUCUCCCUUCUCCUAUCCCUUUAUGCCCUUGUAAACAGUCCCUCUCCAGUUCUCUUAGAGCCCCUUUAGGUACUGGAAGGUGCUCUGAAGUCUCCACCAAAUCCUCUCCAGGCCGGACAACCCCAGCUCUCCCAAUCUGUCUCCCGAGAGGUGCUCCAGCUCUCUGAUCCUCUUGGUCUCCUCUGGCCUCGCUCCAGCAGCUCCACGUCGUGCCUGCGCUGCGGCCCCGAGCUGGACGCUGUACUGCCGGUGGGCUCUCGGGAGAGCGGAGCAGAGAAGCAGAGGGCUCCGCGGCCCCGCUGUUGUUACUGUCACCAUUGCGGUACUGCUGUGCUCUGCGGGCAGCUCUCCCCGGCCCAGCACCGUCUUUCCGCGGCCCCGCUGUUGUUACUGUCACCACUGCGGUACAGCUGUGCUCUGAGGGCAGCUCUCCGCGGCCCCGCUGUUGUUACUGUCACCAUUGCGGUAUUGCUGUGCUCUGCGGGCAGCUCUCCCCGGCCCGACACCGUCUCUCACGUGGCCGCGUGCGCCGGCGUGCCCGUGACGUUACGGCGCGCCCGCCCCGCGUGACGUCAGCGCGAUGGCGGGGGAGGCGGCGGCGCUGCUGGCGGCGGCGCGGGCGGAGCUGCGGGCGCGGCGGCUCUCGGCGGCCGAGGAGCUCUUCAGCCGCUUCAUCGCCCUCAGUCCCGCGGGUGCCCGCAGCGACCUCGCCACGGCGCUCAAUGACCGCGGGCAGGUGCGGUACCUGCGCGUGGAGUUCGCCGCCGCUGUGCAGGACUUCACGGCCGCCAUCGAGUGCCAGCCCGGCUUCGAGGUGCCCUACUACAACCGCGGGCUGGUGCGCUACCGGCUGGGAGACUUUGAUGAGGCCAUGAAAGAUUUCAGGAAAGUAUUAGAGUUAAACCCCCAAUUUGAAGAUGCUGCAUUGAGUCUAAAACAGGCUAUUCUUGACAAAGAAGAAAAAGAGAAGCGGGGUUAUUGAAAUUCAGGUUGCGAUGUGAUGUGAAAAUAUUCUGCUAAACAUGUGAGUUUUGUCAUUGAUGGAUGAAACACAAGAUCAUUUACAUCUGUUAUGACCUGCUGAAGAACUUCAUUCUUAGAGUUUACCAUAGAAAAUAUUCACAGGAGGAAUUGUGGCUUUCUCUUCCUUAUUAAGGAGAUCAAUUCCCUGAAGAAUACAGUGUGAAAUCCAUCUGAUGGAGCUGGCUGUGAACACCCAGGCAGCUUCAUUUCUCACAUGGUAGGAGGGACCAUUACUGAAAUCUGUAAAUCAUCAGUAAGGAACACUUGCAAGUUCAUAGCAACACAAGUUCUAAUAAAAUAAAUACUCUCUGCUGA
RNA transcript from Haemorhous mexicanus (house finch), 1869 nucleotides. It is a transcript of the gene named tetratricopeptide repeat domain 32, with no coding region annotated. The record is from RefSeq and is a predicted model, not a curated record. The transcript has 4 exons. Lineage: Eukaryota; Metazoa; Chordata; Aves; Passeriformes; Fringillidae.